Long non-coding RNA from Hyaena hyaena (striped hyena), 511 nucleotides. RefSeq lists it as uncharacterized. The transcript has 3 exons. The record is from RefSeq and is a predicted model, not a curated record. NCBI's taxonomy places the organism in Eukaryota, Metazoa, Chordata, Mammalia, Carnivora, Hyaenidae.
CUUAAACUCACUGAAGAAUCAAGAUUCACCUGCCACUUUCACAAACUCAAGUUACCUCAACAAAUCCAGAGAUACUACAUAAUAGAGCAAGUCAUGCUGAAGUAGAAAAUCUACCCAGAGAAAUGUCUAGCAUUUGCAUGCCUUGAAUGUGAAACGAUGAAUUUCCCUGUGAGAUGGUUUUGGUGACAGUUAACAGCCUUCCUUAUUUCAAUGUAUCAUUAGCACAAUCUCCAUUUUCUCCAUGUUUCCAGUCUUCUACACCUUGUGAAAAUAAAGUUUGCAAACAGGUUUAGAGAAAUGAAGCUCUUUGCUUUGACUGAUCCAUUCAACUGGACACUGGCAGUGCUGGAGCUGCACAAGAACACAGAUCUCCUGCUGGCUCACCCGAACGUUCUCUGCUCUGUGAGGACAAGAUUUCAAGUCUUCUAACUUCACAGACCAUGUUCUCCCUGUCCCUUGAGCUGCAUCAAUUGGUUGAAAACCUAAAACAAUUGGCCAUCUAUCUGGAGUG